Hermetia illucens (black soldier fly) is the source of this 1269-nucleotide RNA transcript. It is a transcript of the gene named hsp70-binding protein 1, with no coding region annotated. The record is from RefSeq and is a predicted model, not a curated record. NCBI's taxonomy places the organism in Eukaryota, Metazoa, Arthropoda, Insecta, Diptera, Stratiomyidae. The transcript is spliced from 6 exons.
UGAUCAAUUCAAAGCUACCACGCUUCACUCUAUUUUGACUUCAUAUUUCGACACAGGCGGCGAGGAAGCCUAGCGAGUUUUCAGUUUACAUUCAAGAACUCCGCUUUAUUGAGUCAUUUAUAAUUCGUGAAAAGUGAUAUCUACGAAAUGAGCGACGAAGAACGCCUACCGAAAAACCUACAAGGUUUGCUGCGAUUCGCAAUGCAAUACACCAGGAAUGAGGAUGCUCCCCAUGAAUCACAAUGGCAGCAGAUGGACCCAGAGCGCAAAAAGUUCCUGGAGGACGCCCUGAAAUCCAUGACCGUAGACGUUAUUGAAGAAUUCGAGAAGGCUCUGGAAGUGCUGAAUAAAAGUGAUGCUUCUUCUGAAGAACGUGUUGAUGCUUUGCAAAUAGUAGAGGACUAUGCAGAAAAUAUCGAUUUCGCAGAUAACUUCGUGAAAAUCGGAGGCACCGGGGUAGUUGUCGACUGCUUGAAGUCAGAUCUUUCCGAAGUCAGAGCAGCCGCUGCCUCGCUCAUUGCUGUGAUGUGCCAGAAUAAUAUUUAUUGCCAGAAACAUUUUUUGGAGAUUAACAUCAUACCGAAAUUGGUGGAACUGCUGUCGGAUGAACAAUCUGUGGCAGUGAAGGCGAUGCACGCAUUAUCGUGUAUGGUACGCAGUUAUGAGCCUUGUUUGGCUGCACUGAUAGAGAUCGGAGGAUUAGAGUGUAUUUUGGGCUGCUUAGGAUCAGGGGAAGAAAAGAUAAUGGUGAAAUCAGCAUUCCUGAUUGGAGCUUUGUCCAAAGAUCAUAAUGCAGUAAGGGAACAAUUUAUUAAGCUUGGAGCCAUUGAAAGACUAUCAGAAUAUUUGGAAGUUCCUGAUGAGUAUUGCUACCUAGUUGAAACAUUUCUUGAUGCCUUGAUGAUCCUAACAGAGCAAGAAGAUGUUGCUUCAGAGCAUUUAACGGGAAGGUUAAAAGAUAAAUUGGAAAAUAUUGUAAAUAAGACUAAAGGGAAACCUGAAUUCGAGGAAACAAUUGAGUACAGUAAAACUCUUCUAGCCAGAUGCUCUUCUGACACACUAGACGACACCGACAGAUAAAUAGGCUCAAAUAUUUUUGGUCAAAAAUACAGAAUUUUUCUCUAUUUAUUUCAAGGAAAAAUUCGCAUAUGAUAUGGUCCAAUCGACACUUGAAGCUGUUGUUGUCUAGCCAAAACACACACUUUGCUGAAGCACUGAUCAAGCGGGAAGAAAUAGAGAAGCGAAGAAGAAUGACAUCAACCCGUGCGA